UUUUGUUGCAUUGCGCUGGAAUGUUGGCGCACCAAUCAGAUUGCUCCAAACACAUGGUACAACCUCAAACUUGUUAAUAUCACAUGAUAUAAUUUUAAUAAAAUGGCCUCUAGAAGACAGGUAGAAUUUAAAGGAGCUUCAUGAGGUCUGAGGUUCAAAGAGAAGUCAAGAAGGAACAGAAAUGGGUCUCACAAAGCCUGUUAUCGAUAUUUAGGAUAAUUUUUGUGCCUGCUGACAGGAUUCAGUGCCAAACAAAAUGUCAAUCACUACUUUGGCUCAGUACUGUAUUAUGUCCUCUGGAAAAUAAGUUCUGGAACUGAACUGAAAACUCUUCCUUCGUCCCCUGGUCAAUGACUAAAGCUAGUGAGUUUGCCUCUUGAUGAACAACAAGUUAAGAAAUGUAUUAUAGGAGUACAUACUGUUAUAGAACUCGGGGAACUACUUCUACCUCAUCUGCAAAUGAUGUCUCUGACAGCCAUGGCUUUUAUAGCAUUCAUUAUCUGAUUAUACAAUUUUAGUCAAUUUUGCAUUAUUAAACAUACUGUUUUGAUCUGAUAACAAAA
Molecule: long non-coding RNA, 563 nt
Organism: Amphimedon queenslandica
Lineage: Eukaryota; Metazoa; Porifera; Demospongiae; Haplosclerida; Niphatidae
Exons: 2
Source: RefSeq, a predicted model, not a curated record